This 454-nucleotide ribosomal RNA is filed under the name uncultured bacterium. RNAcentral's name for it is "bacterial SSU rRNA". It matches the Rfam family "Bacterial small subunit ribosomal RNA", at positions 29 to 507 of the family's 1533-position model. The record is from RNAcentral.
AGUGAACGCUGGCGGCGUAGCUUAACACAUCGCAAGUCGAACGGAGUAAGUGCUGUAGUAAUACAGAUUACUGCUAGUGGCAGACGGGUGAGUAAUACAUGGGAAUCUGCCUUAGAGCCUGGGAUAACUGUUGGAAACGACAGCUAAUACCGGAUAAUACCGAGAGGUCAAAAGAUUUAUCGCUUUGAGAUGAGCCCAUGCAAGAUUAGCUAGUUGGUAGGGUAAAGGCCUACCAAGGCGAAGAUCUUUAGCUGGUUUGAGAGGAUGAUCAGCCACACUGGAACUGAGACACGGUCCAGACUCCUACGGGAGGCAGCAGUGGGGAAUAUUGGACAAUGGGCGAAAGCCUGAUCCAGCAACGCCGCGUGAGUGAUGAAGGCCUUCGGGUUGUAAAGCUCUUUCAGUAGGGAAGAUAAUGACGGUACCUACAGAAGAAGCUCCGGCUAACUUCGUG